This 484-nucleotide ribosomal RNA is filed under the name uncultured bacterium. RNAcentral describes it as "partial 16S ribosomal RNA". It matches the Rfam family "Bacterial small subunit ribosomal RNA", at positions 30 to 507 of the family's 1533-position model. The record is from RNAcentral.
AUUGAACGCUGGCGGCAGGCCUAACACAUGCAAGUCGAGCGGAUGAAGGGAGCUUGCUCCUGGAUUCAGCGGCGGACGGGUGAGUAAUGCCUAGGAAUCUGCCUGGUAGUGGGGGAUAACGUCCGGAAACGGGCGCUAAUACCGCAUACGUCCUGAGGGAGAAAGUGGGGGAUCUUCGGACCUCACGCUAUCAGAUGAGCCUAGGUCGGAUUAGCUAGUUGGUGGGGUAAAGGCCUACCAAGGCGACGAUCCGUAACUGGUCUGAGAGGAUGAUCAGUCACACUGGAACUGAGACACGGUCCAGACUCCUACGGGAGGCAGCAGUGGGGAAUAUUGGACAAUGGGCGAAAGCCUGAUCCAGCCAUGCCGCGUGUGUGAAGAAGGUCUUCGGAUUGUAAAGCACUUUAAGUUGGGAGGAAGGGCAGUAAGUUAAUACCUUGCUGUUUUGACGUUACCAACAAAAUAAGCACCGGCUAACUUCGUG